Molecule: ribosomal RNA, 158 nt
Filed under: Artomyces pyxidatus
Lineage: Eukaryota; Fungi; Basidiomycota; Agaricomycetes; Russulales; Auriscalpiaceae
Description: 5.8S ribosomal RNA
Rfam family: 5.8S ribosomal RNA
About the family: 5.8S ribosomal RNA (5.8S rRNA) is a component of the large subunit of the eukaryotic ribosome. It is transcribed by RNA polymerase I as part of the 45S precursor that also contains 18S and 28S rRNA.
Source: RNAcentral
ACAACUUUCAACAACGGUCUCUUGGCUCUCGCAUCGAUGAAGAACGCAGCGAAAUGCGAUAAGUAAUGUGAAUUGCAGAAUUCAGUGAAUCAUCGAAUCUUUGAACGCACCUUGCGCCCCUUGGUAUUCCGAGGGGCACGCCUGUUUGAGUGUCGUGA